Molecule: ribosomal RNA, 479 nt
Filed under: uncultured bacterium
Lineage: Bacteria
Description: partial 16S ribosomal RNA
Rfam family: Bacterial small subunit ribosomal RNA
Source: RNAcentral
GACGAACGCUGGCGGCGCGCUUAACACAUGCAAGUCGAGCGAUGAAAUUUCGACAGAUCCCUUCGGGGUGAAGAUGAAAUGGAUUAGCGGCGGACGGGUGAGUAACACGUGAGUAACCUGCCUUUGACAUUGGGAUAGCCUCGGGACACUGGGAUUAAUACCAAAUGACACUAACUGAUCACAUGAUCAAUUAGUCAAAGAAAUUCGGUCAAAGAUGGACUCGCGGCUGAUUAGCUAGUUGGUGAGGUAACGGCCCACCAAGGCGACGAUCAGUAGCCGGCCUGAGAGGGUGAUCGGCCACAUUGGAACUGAGACACGGUCCAAACUCCUACGGGAGGCAGCAGUGGGGAAUAUUGCACAAUGGGGGAAACCCUGAUGCAGCGACGCCGCGUGAGCGAAGAAGGCCUUCGGGUCGUAAAGCUCUUUUAUGAGGGAAGAUAAUGACGGUACCUCAAGAAAAAGCCCCGGCUAACUACGUG